GCCGUCGUAGCUCAGUUGGUAGAGCGCUUCGCUGUUAACGAAGUAGUCCCAGGUUCGAAUCCUGGCGACGGCG
Molecule: transfer RNA, 73 nt
Filed under: Halobacteriales archaeon QH_6_64_20
Lineage: Archaea; Methanobacteriati; Methanobacteriota; Halobacteria; Halobacteriales
Description: tRNA-Asn
Rfam family: tRNA
About the family: Transfer RNA (tRNA) molecules are approximately 80 nucleotides in length. Their secondary structure includes four short double-helical elements and three loops (D, anti-codon, and T loops).
Source: RNAcentral